RNAcentral lists this non-coding RNA (24 nucleotides) under Arabidopsis thaliana (thale cress). The record is from RNAcentral. Lineage: Eukaryota; Viridiplantae; Streptophyta; Magnoliopsida; Brassicales; Brassicaceae.
ACCAGGCCGAGGAGUGGUCGAGGA